Molecule: long non-coding RNA, 840 nt
Filed under: Homo sapiens (human)
Lineage: Eukaryota; Metazoa; Chordata; Mammalia; Primates; Hominidae
Description: MIR9-1 host gene, transcript variant 8 (MIR9-1HG)
Source: RNAcentral
GGAGAGCAGCAAGAGAAAGAAAGAGAGAGGCAAGCGAAAUUCCUGAAUGGAUAGACAGAUGCUACGUCAUCGGAGCUGCAUCCUCCACUCCACAAGAGGCUAGGAGCUGGGGGGAGAGAGGCAGUCCAGCCGCAGGGGCCACCCGAACAGUCUCUCCUCCUCACAGAAGCCUGGAGCUGGGCAUCCAAGAAGAAGCAGCCUCAUUUGUUUUCUGGUGUCAUCGUAGGUGGCCACCUAUGGCUUUUGGGCUUCUCACCUGGGGCGGGUGGGUUCUGCACCACCCUCCCACCCUCCUUCCUCCGUGUGGACGAUAGAGCCACAUCCAGCACCACGGACAGCUCCCGGGCGCCUUCAUCUCCUCGUCCUCCAGGCAGCACAAGCCAUUGUGGAAUCUCCACCAGGUGUACAGAACGGUGCCUCUGCGUCCUGCCACUCAGGACCUCUCAAGUCCCCGAUGUGAUGGCUCCUCAGCAUGAUCAGGAACCAAAAAGAAGAAUGUACUUCAUCUGGUUGGGCUGGAUUCCCUCUGAUAAGCCUUCCCAGUUGACUGAAAGAUGAGGCUAGGCUCUAGCAAGUUGAAGUCAAACCAGCUCCUUCAAGAAGCUUUGAGCAGAAUGAAGUGGGGAGGACCCAGCUUCCAGCCCAGGAAGCCCACUGUACCUGGAGCCAUCUGGGAUAAGACUUUGACCCAUGACUCCCAUAUCCACAGCCUGUCCAUCCUAGCCCAUCCCAGUUUAUCCUGUAUCAUUUGAGCUGGGAUUCCCACAUCCUCUGAGUUGGAAGUCCCAUCUCAAGUCUUCAAUAAAGACUCUUGAAUAUUGAAUCACAUUAAAAAAAAAA